This 450-nucleotide ribosomal RNA is filed under the name uncultured bacterium. RNAcentral describes it as "bacterial SSU rRNA". It matches the Rfam family "Bacterial small subunit ribosomal RNA", at positions 354 to 796 of the family's 1533-position model. The record is from RNAcentral.
GUGGGGAAUUUUGGACAAUGGGCGCAAGCCUGAUCCAGCCAUUCCGCGUGCAGGAUGAAGGCCCUCGGGUUGUAAACUGCUUUUGUACGGAACGAAAAGGCUCUGGUUAAUACCUGGGGCUCAUGACGGUACCGUAAGAAUAAGCACCGGCUAACUACGUGCCAGCAGCCGCGGUAAUACGUAGGGUGCAAGCGUUAAUCGGAAUUACUGGGCGUAAAGCGUGCGCAGGCGGUCUUGUAAGACAGAGGUGAAAUCCCCGGGCUCAACCUGGGAACUGCCUUUGUGACUGCAAGGCUGGAGUACGGCAGAGGGGGAUGGAAUUCCGCGUGUAGCAGUGAAAUGCGUAGAUAUGCGGAGGAACACCGAUGGCGAAGGCAAUCCCCUGGGCCUGUACUGACGCUCAUGCACGAAAGCGUGGGGAGCAAACAGGAUUAGAAACCCCGGUAGUCC